This 203-nucleotide unclassified non-coding RNA is filed under the name Hevea brasiliensis (rubber tree). Lineage: Eukaryota; Viridiplantae; Streptophyta; Magnoliopsida; Malpighiales; Euphorbiaceae. The record is from RNAcentral.
UGAUCAGAAGAGGGGGGCUUGCAAGAGUCAGAAGAAGUGAUGGAGGACAAUACCUGCUUGUAUCUAGUGUAAUAUCUGGAAGGAAAGGAAUCAGAGCAUUUUUGAAGGAAAAGAAUGCUCAAUACAGAAGAUCAAAUGGAAAGUAAUUACUUCCUCAGGUUUUUGGUGUAAAGAACAAAAUAUAGAAGAGGAAACAAACAUAA